RNAcentral lists this long non-coding RNA (464 nucleotides) under Homo sapiens (human). Its description in RNAcentral is "HSALNT0391699". The record is from RNAcentral. Lineage: Eukaryota; Metazoa; Chordata; Mammalia; Primates; Hominidae.
CUACUGCCCAAGCCACACCCUGUAAGAGCCUGGAACCACAUAUCAUCCUAUGGACAACUGGCCUGAAUCUCCUUGGGGACUCCAAGUGGAAGACCUGGGCCUUCCCUGCCCACGGGCAUCGACCAGGGCCCAGCGAGGCCGCUGCCGCGCACACCAGCUGUUUCUCCGACCCGGGCGGACGCCAGCCAGGCUUUGUUUGCAUUGAGUCAACAGGGACUGUGCGUCCGGGACCCGCGGGCAAUGAGGGGCAGGGAGGGGAGCGGACGGUGGAUGGGUGGGUGGGGGCGGCGGGAGGCUGGAGAUGCGAAGCUGGGGACGCCGCGGGGCGGGACAGGGGGCGGACAGCUGUGUCGCCGGCUCGGGGAGUAGGCACACGUCAGCCUAAGGUGGCAGCAGCGGCUUCGGGGAGAGGGGUGUUCCCAGGAGAGGAGGCUGAGGGUGGGGGACUAGGGCCAGGGGAUGGA